UGCAGUCGAUGUGGUAUGUUUCUAGCAGGAGAGCGAGUAACUCGCAGGCUGUUGGUUGAACUUUAGUCAGAUUAAGUGAUUGCUUAUCUCCGUCUGCUAUGUUGCCUACUCCGAUGUGAGGUGGAUGAUGCUCCUUGCGGGUUUUGCCACGAAUGAACACUUCGCCUAGAAGGUUGCUCAUGUUGAUUAUUAGAGUGUGGCCCAACCGUGAAUGUAUGUUCGUCUGUGGGCCUAAUCGAGAGUGCACGCUCCUCUACAUGGUAAGACAGGAGUAUACGUUAUCUCGAGGGCCCAGUCGGGAGUGUACACUACCCGAACGCUUGGUUUGUAGCUGGUCGAGUGGCUGCUUACAAGGACGUUGCUGGAGAGGUUCUUCGUCUGCCCUUGUCCUACUUCGGGAAACCUUGUCUAGGGCACCUUGCAUCUUAGUGCGCUGCAAAAGCUACUUCACC
RNAcentral lists this long non-coding RNA (452 nucleotides) under Malus domestica (apple). Its description in RNAcentral is "long non-coding RNA (MDOM_LNC010238)". Lineage: Eukaryota; Viridiplantae; Streptophyta; Magnoliopsida; Rosales; Rosaceae. The record is from RNAcentral.